GAAGGUUCGGGGUCAAAGCCCGUA
Molecule: non-coding RNA, 24 nt
Filed under: Arabidopsis thaliana (thale cress)
Lineage: Eukaryota; Viridiplantae; Streptophyta; Magnoliopsida; Brassicales; Brassicaceae
Source: RNAcentral